This 819-nucleotide ribosomal RNA is filed under the name Triticum aestivum (bread wheat). RNAcentral describes it as "partial small subunit ribosomal RNA". The record is from RNAcentral. Lineage: Eukaryota; Viridiplantae; Streptophyta; Magnoliopsida; Poales; Poaceae.
AUGAAUGCCUACGCUCUGCACUCGAUGGAGGUGAAGGCGAAGCCGGCGAGGGGCGGGAAGAGGAGCAGGGCGAGCGGCGGCAUGGCGGUGGUCCUGCUGGAGAAGAAGGAGUCGGAGAAGGAGAGGAGGAAGCGCAUGAAGGCGCUCUGCGAGAAGCUUGCAUCCCUAAUUCCAAGAGAACACUGCUGCUCCAGCACUGAUACAAUGACCCAGCUAGGCAGCCUGGACGUGGGGGCGUCAUACAUCAAGAAGCUGAAGGAGAGGGUCGACGAGCUGCAACGUAGGAGGAACUCUGUGCAGGCCUUGGAUACCUUAAGAGGAGAUACUAGCAUCCCAACACCCACUACCACCACUACCACAAGCAGCAGUGCAAGGUCGCCGGAAGAAGAGAAAGCUUGGGAGGCAUUGGAACCAGUAUUGCAGGUGCGGCAACACGACGAUUCAAGCAUGGAGGUGAGACUGAUAUGUUGCAUGGAGAGGCCGAUCAAGCUCCAUGAGGUGAUCACCAUCCAUGAGGAAGAAGGUGCUGAGAUCAUCAAUGCCAAUCGCUCUGUUGCUGGCCACAAAAUGUUGUACACUAUACACUCUCGGCUCCGACUUUUUUCACAUGAAAAUCAGGCACCGUCGUGCAUGCGCAGCGAUAGGGUCCUCAGGUACACCGAUGGAGCCAACGCGACUCCUCCCAAGGAGCUCGUCAGCAACAAUGAUAUAGGUGGAACCAAUAAGGUGACAAACCACGAGUGUGAGUCUUGGGUUGAGCAAGACCAAGUGACGUGGAGUUCAAUGCUUGCGUCAGUAUCACCAGAGCUGCUCGAGUAG